AAAACCAAUAUGCAUCCCUCACUACACUCAGGAUUUAAAAUGUAAAAAGGUCUGUGUAAGAGAUUACACCAUCUAUUUUUGGCAGGUAAAAAGGGAUUAUGUAGGAGUUUACACUUAGUUUUAAAUACAUUUAAAAAGGUCAUUUUUGUAGGAGUUUACACGUAGUCAUGUGAAAACUGAAACUAUUAGACGUUUGUUAGUUGUUGGUAAUAUUUAACCCUU
Molecule: non-coding RNA, 222 nt
Organism: Cinara cedri
Lineage: Eukaryota; Metazoa; Arthropoda; Insecta; Hemiptera; Aphididae
Source: the annotation of a GenBank genome assembly